CAGCACCUCAAGUGGUCAGGAUGAUUAUUGGGCCUAAAGCAUCCGUAGCCGGCUCUGUAAGUUUUCGGUUAAAUCUGUACGCUCAACGUACAGGCUGCCGGGAAUACUGCAGCGCUAGGGAGUGGGAGAGGUAGACGGUACUCGGUAGGAAGGGGUAAAAUCCUUUGAUCUAUUGAUGACCACCUGUGGCGAAGGCGGUCUACCAGAACACGUCCGGCGGUGAGGGAUGAAAGCUGGGGGAGCAAACCGGAUUAGAGACCCGUGUAGUCC
RNAcentral lists this ribosomal RNA (270 nucleotides) under uncultured archaeon. Its description in RNAcentral is "partial 16S ribosomal RNA". It matches the Rfam family "Archaeal small subunit ribosomal RNA", at positions 477 to 747 of the family's 1478-position model. The record is from RNAcentral.